UACGGGGGGGGGCACGCGUUGUUCGGAAUUACUGGGCGUAAAGGGCUCGUAGGCGGCCAACUAAGUCAGACGUGAAAUCCCUCGGCUUAACCGGGGAACUGCGUCUGAUACUGGAUGGCUUGAGGUUGGGAGAGGGAUGCGGAAUUCCAGGUGUAGCGGUGAAAUGCGUAGAUAUCUGGAGGAACACCGGUGGCGAAGGCGGCAUCCUGGACCAAUUCUGACGCUGAGUGAGCGAAAGCCAGGGGAGCAAACGGG
RNAcentral lists this ribosomal RNA (255 nucleotides) under uncultured bacterium. RNAcentral describes it as "partial 16S ribosomal RNA". It matches the Rfam family "Bacterial small subunit ribosomal RNA", at positions 524 to 776 of the family's 1533-position model. The record is from RNAcentral.